RNAcentral lists this long non-coding RNA (744 nucleotides) under Trifolium pratense (red clover). RNAcentral describes it as "long non-coding RNA (TPRA_LNC014412)". The record is from RNAcentral. Lineage: Eukaryota; Viridiplantae; Streptophyta; Magnoliopsida; Fabales; Fabaceae.
AAACCAUAUAUUUUUUUUGACAACCAUAGAUUUUAUGUUGUCCAAAACUACAAUUUCAAUUAGAAUCAUCCAAAAGUACAAUUUGAACAUCGUAAUAUUAACAACGUAUUUGACACCGUGUAUGUUUAUCUCUAUCUCUCUUACUUUUUAUUUUAUACACUUGACACAUUUAAAAAAUAUGCACAAAUUACACUUACAACAAUUUGACAACAAUUUUUUGUUGUACAAACAUCAUUUCCCAUUUUGAAAAUAUGUGUUUUUUAACAAAUGUAAAUGGGAAAGUUCCUCCCCUAAUACAAUUAUUUCCAUAUAGUGUCAUAAAUUUCAUAUGUAAUUGUUAUUCUACAAUAUUAGAAUUCCAACACUCCUUUUGAUAAAAAAUAAAAUAAUUCCAACACUCCAUAGCUUAUAACUUGUUAAUUGUUAAAGCACCUCAAGGGGGGAAAAAUUUUAAAUAUGAAAAAUAAUUCCUUGCACAACGUUCUAGUAAUUUUUCUUCUGGUUGUGCUAGUAAUUUUUCAUCUGAUUCAAAAAAGGGGGCAUAGUUUUAUCAAAUCUCAGUCAUUUAUCAUGUAAAAUGGUUUCGACUUAACAGGUGAUAUUAUAGUAAACAUCUCCAACUAAACCAAAUCCUUUCAGUACAACAAAAUGACACAAGAUAGUACCUUUAUACAAGAUGUAGUAGAUUCUAGCCUCACAUAUCAAGUAUCAAAACCAGAAUAGACUCCAUUGUCCCUCAACAGU